AUACUUAUGUGGUAGGAGAGAUACCAUGAUUACCAAGGUGCUUUUCCCAGGGCUCCUCCAUUAUACUGCGGCUGUGCUGACCCCUGUGAUUUCCCCAAAUGCAGGAAACUCAACUACAGAAUUUGUGAAAGUAGAGAACUGAAUUCGUGCUUUCUCCU
Small nuclear RNA from Trachemys scripta elegans, 158 nucleotides. RefSeq annotates it as U1 spliceosomal RNA. The transcript has a single exon. Lineage: Eukaryota; Metazoa; Chordata; Testudines; Emydidae. The record is from RefSeq and is a predicted model, not a curated record.